Molecule: long non-coding RNA, 743 nt
Organism: Topomyia yanbarensis
Lineage: Eukaryota; Metazoa; Arthropoda; Insecta; Diptera; Culicidae
Exons: 3
Source: RefSeq, a predicted model, not a curated record
UCUUCUCGAAUUACUGGAAAUAUUGCAGCUAGUUUCGAGGUCUUAUCCCGAUUCAUUACUGCAAAUAAUUUUAAGCACUGUUUCUGUUUGCAUGUAUCUCUACUAAAUUCUUUUUUUCCGGAUCUUUUUUUCUUAUUCUACAGGUCGGCAGACGUCUACAGUUUUAGGUGCAGAGUGCUGGUGGAUAUUCUUACUUGAUAGGAAGCUGUCGCCAAGGCUUCCUCUUAGUGUCCAGUCAUCCGAUCUGGGACCAUAGCUGUCCUUCGAUGUCGCUCGACGCUCUUUCGUUGGUGGCCGUAGUUUAGCAUGUUAUUGGGUCACCGAGCGGAGGAUUUGCUUAUCAGGUACAGGAGUCUGCGACGGCUACUCACUCUUAGUACUUUCACUGUGGAAAGCCAUAGCUGUUUUUAUCAUGAUUUAGAAACACGUGAUAUGGUCUAUUACGAUUUCGAGGAUGCAGAAUUAAAAGGAAUUAUAAAGUCUAAAUAAGUGUACAAAGAACCCGCUGAUUGAACUGUACUCUUGACCCAGCGCAUUUCCCGGGUGUCGACGGACCAGCAAAUCUACUUUUCAGAAAAGGGCCUUUAUAUCUACUGUCGAACAACUUUCCUUUCCGCCGAACUUCCAGCAAGAACCCGCUCCAACCUCAUAGCACUGUGGACACGACGAGCUGCUGAAAUCCGCGAAAAUAAAUUGUGGCGGAGGUAUCAAAGGAAUCCCACCGGUUGGGCGCCACUGUAACU